UGGAGCCCAAAAGCAUGAUUGAUAAAAGUGUAAUUUAUGGAAAUUAUUUUAGUUUUUUAGAAUGGGUAGGUUUGCCUAUAAAUGUGUUCAUCAAUAAUCAGAUUCUGCAUGCACAAAUAUCAACACUCCCCAACAAAAGAACAUACAAUUUCGUUGACUACCACAUACAACCCAAAUGUUGAUAAUAACUGCCUAUAUCAAGCAAGAAAUUCUGAGAAGGCCACACAUUCCUCCAAAAAUAAAUUAUAUAAUAUAUGUAAUACCAACCCAUGAGAACAACUACUUUCCAAUUCCACAUAUGAGAAAAAGGCAAAGAAGCAUCAAAUAAACUAAAGAUUUAGACAACAAACACAUUAAACCAUGUUCAUCAGAAGUAAGCACUAAUCUAAAACUCAGACUGCAAAGAGAAACUUACAUAAAACAGUAGCAAUAUACUCCCAAAAUCAAAUAGAAAGUUGAAUCUGCAAAACCCAGAAACAGAUAACUCUUCAAUCUGCAAAACUAUGCCACAAACCAAGCCUAUAGCAUGGGUGGCCCAAUAAUUAGCUGGGUUCCCAACGGGUCUGUGUAUACAAAGGGCAUAUAUUAUGAGUUUUUGAAAAAUUUCCCUUAUUAGUAGUAUAUGCAGAUUACAUUGAGGCUUGGCGAGAUCUACAUCAAAGCAUUUAAAAAUUAAUGUGCCUUAUCGUAAAUCUUUUGGGUUCAAUUUAAGAAGUGUGAGAAAAAUUAAUGUCUAUUUCAGUUCAAAAAGGUGUCAUACCUCAAUACUAAUUUUCUUCCAUUUGGGGGAUCGAAAAUCAACAGAGCACUAUCCAGAUUGAUUUCUAAGACAAUCUGAGAUCCGAAAAAGAUGAACGUAGACCAAAACAAAAC
This 873-nucleotide long non-coding RNA is filed under the name Panax ginseng (ginseng). Its description in RNAcentral is "long non-coding RNA (PGIN_LNC011564)". Lineage: Eukaryota; Viridiplantae; Streptophyta; Magnoliopsida; Apiales; Araliaceae. The record is from RNAcentral.